UACGUAGGGUGCAAGCGUUGUCCGGAAUUAUUGGGCGUAAAGAGCUCGUAGGCGGUCUGUCGCGUCUGCUGUGAAAACUCGGGGCUUAACCCCGGGCCUGCAGUGGGUACGGGCAGACUAGAGUGCGGUAGGGGAGACUGGAAUUCCCGGUGUAGUGGUGAAAUGCGUAGAUAUCGGGAGGAACACCAGUGGCGAAGGCGACUACCUGGCCUGUUCUUGACGCUGAGGCGCGAAAGCUAAGGGGAGCAAACGGGG
This 255-nucleotide ribosomal RNA is filed under the name uncultured bacterium. RNAcentral's name for it is "partial 16S ribosomal RNA". It matches the Rfam family "Bacterial small subunit ribosomal RNA", at positions 524 to 777 of the family's 1533-position model. The record is from RNAcentral.